RNAcentral lists this transfer RNA (75 nucleotides) under Microlunatus endophyticus. RNAcentral describes it as "tRNA-Val". It matches the Rfam family "tRNA". Rfam says of the family: Transfer RNA (tRNA) molecules are approximately 80 nucleotides in length. Their secondary structure includes four short double-helical elements and three loops (D, anti-codon, and T loops). Lineage: Bacteria; Bacillati; Actinomycetota; Actinomycetes; Propionibacteriales; Propionibacteriaceae. The record is from RNAcentral.
GGGUGCAUAGCUCAGUUGGUUAGAGCACCUCCCUUACAAGGAGGGGGUCAGGGGUUCGAGUCCCUUUGCACCCAC